Molecule: long non-coding RNA, 1228 nt
Filed under: Phasianus colchicus (ring-necked pheasant)
Lineage: Eukaryota; Metazoa; Chordata; Aves; Galliformes; Phasianidae
Description: lncRNA (ENSPCLG00000005778.1)
Source: RNAcentral
AAUAAUUGCUCGUUGACCUCAAGUUUUUAAAGAUCCGGGGCUUCUGGUUCAAGUUGGCUUUGUGUUUUCAGGCGGUGUGGUCCCAGCCUGGGCUUCAGGCAGCUCAGAGGAAAUUGGCUGUAUUUGGAUUUCCUUGUCUGCAGUGGAGAUGGCACUGUUUAAGCAUUAAUUUGUUCUGCAUGAGUUUGCACAGGAGGCAAACACAGAGGUCAGCCUCUGCUGCGCUGAAUCACAAGGCCCUUAGUUCUGCCUACCCACCCACCCACUUGUCAGGGUUAAUGGGAGCUGGCAAGCUCCAGAACCCCAUACUCCUGUUGCUUCAAAAUCUUUGAGAGGCCACACUACUCCUGAGGGUACAGGCAACAGUGUUAAGCCUCUGGAGUUACGUCUGCUUACCACAGUUGUUAAUUUAUCUGUGAAAGUGCUGCUGAGAUGAACCACCUUUCUUAGAUCAAUAUUUAUUUAAUCUGAAACUGUACUGAAGUGGGAAUUGAAACCUUUUGCAUUAGGGGACCAAUACAGUUCCUGCAUGUGUGUCACCUCCAGUAUCUGCAGUGUGGGGAAUUUCAAGAACUUAACAAAGUCUCUCCACUUUGUGGCUGACACCAGGCACCCCAGAGGUCAGAGGAGAUCCUUCAUUCCAUGCUUUUGUUAAUCAGGAUCAUUGCUCCACAAGACAACCUUCUUACAACCUUACGGAGCAGAACUUCUGCAGUCUGCAUUACUGAGCUACCACCCGAGGCCCAGAUUCACAAAGGGCCAGCCAGGUCCUGCCCUGCAGGAUGGGGAUGAGAGAUGUCUGGCAGCAGAAACACCAGGUGGAGUUUCCCGACUGAGAGCUGAGUGCCAGCUGCCCUCACCCUGACACCAAGAGAGGUCAAGAGGAUAAUCCCUGUGCUACACGAGGCUAAGAGGUGUAUUUUCACCUCUGGGCAGAAGGAGCAGCACAAAGCACUUGCAGAGUGGUGGUACUUUGGAGGGGAGCACUGGGUCAGCUGCUCAGUGCAUUGCGUGCCGGGCUGCUUUGGAUCUCAGAUAGGAUCUAAAAGAAGACAUUGCAGAAGGGUCUGCCCUCCCAAGCGUGUGCUGUCUUCCUCCCACCAUCACAGCCACUGGCUCCCUCAUCGUGUUUUUCUGUGCAAGGUGAGCAUUGGCUGCUGUUGUGGGAGCACAGUGGGGAUGCCUGCGGGGUCACCCCACAGUGGCAGCUGCAGAGCCUCUGGGCCAA